UUUUCGAUCAUCGAAAGCUCGUUAAGACUAGAUGGGUAUCCCUACAUAGCGGGUGGGACCCACGGCGAAUGGUUCAUCAAGUCUUCAAAAAAGAAUAUAUACGAUUGCAUUGCAUAUACUAACGGAUGCGAUCAUGCCAGCACUAAUGCACCGGAUCCCAUCAGAACUCCGCAGUCAAGCGUGCUUGGGCGAGAGUAGUACUAGGAUGGGUGACCUCCCGGGAAGUCCUCGUGUUGCAUCCCUCUUUUAUGUUUAACCUUUUUUUUUUU
RNAcentral lists this ribosomal RNA (269 nucleotides) under Arabidopsis thaliana (thale cress). Lineage: Eukaryota; Viridiplantae; Streptophyta; Magnoliopsida; Brassicales; Brassicaceae. The record is from RNAcentral.